GUGCACGCUGGCGGUAGGCCUCACUCCUGCUAGUCGAACGGCAGCACAGUAAGAGCUUGCUCUUCCGGGUGGCGAGUGGCGGACGGGUGAGGAAUACAUCGGAAUCUACUUUUUCGUGGGGGAUAACGUAGGGAAACUUACGCUAAUACCGCAUACGACCUACGGGUGAAAGCAGGGGAUCUUCGGACCUUGCGCGAUUGAAUGAGCCGAUGUCGGAUUAGCUAGUUGGCGGGGUAAAGGCCCACCAAGGCGACGAUCCGUAGCUGGUCUGAGAGGAUGAUCAGCCACACUAGAACUGAGACACGGUCCAGACUCCUACGGGAGGCAGCAGUGGGGAAUAUUGGACAAUGGGCGCAAGCCUGAUCCAGCCAUACCGCGUGGGUGAAGAAGGCCUUCGGGUUGUAAAGCCCUUUUGUUGGGAAAGAAAAGCGGCAGGUUAAUACCCCGCUGUUCUGACGGUACCCGAAGAAUAAGCACCGGCUAACUUCGUG
RNAcentral lists this ribosomal RNA (491 nucleotides) under uncultured bacterium. RNAcentral describes it as "partial 16S ribosomal RNA". It matches the Rfam family "Bacterial small subunit ribosomal RNA", at positions 29 to 507 of the family's 1533-position model. The record is from RNAcentral.